RNAcentral lists this ribosomal RNA (2434 nucleotides) under Escherichia coli. RNAcentral describes it as "partial 23S ribosomal RNA". It matches the Rfam family "Bacterial large subunit ribosomal RNA", at positions 375 to 2797 of the family's 2925-position model. RNAcentral also lists the same sequence under 1 other name. Lineage: Bacteria; Pseudomonadati; Pseudomonadota; Gammaproteobacteria; Enterobacterales; Enterobacteriaceae. The record is from RNAcentral.
GUACACAAAAAUGCACAUAUUGUGAGCUCGAUGAGUAGGGCGGGACACGUGGUAUCCUGUCUGAAUAUGGGGGGACCAUCCUCCAAGGCUAAAUACUCCUGACUGACCGAUAGUGAACCAGUACCGUGAGGGAAAGGCGAAAAGAACCCCGGCGAGGGGAGUGAAAAAGAACCUGAAACCGUGUACGUACAAGCAGUGGGAGCCUCUUUAUGGGGUGACUGCGUACCUUUUGUAUAAUGGGUCAGCGACUUAUAUUCUGUAGCAAGGUUAACCGAAUAGGGGAGCCGAAGGGAAACCGAGUCUUAACUGGGCGUUAAGUUGCAGGGUAUAGACCCGAAACCCGGUGAUCUAGCCAUGGGCAGGUUGAAGGUUGGGUAACACUAACUGGAGGACCGAACCGACUAAUGUUGAAAAAUUAGCGGAUGACUUGUGGCUGGGGGUGAAAGGCCAAUCAAACCGGGAGAUAGCUGGUUCUCCCCGAAAGCUAUUUAGGUAGCGCCUCGUGAAUUCAUCUCCGGGGGUAGAGCACUGUUUCGGCAAGGGGGUCAUCCCGACUUACCAACCCGAUGCAAACUGCGAAUACCGGAGAAUGUUAUCACGGGAGACACACGGCGGGUGCUAACGUCCGUCGUGAAGAGGGAAACAACCCAGACCGCCAGCUAAGGUCCCAAAGUCAUGGUUAAGUGGGAAACGAUGUGGGAAGGCCCAGACAGCCAGGAUGUUGGCUUAGAAGCAGCCAUCAUUUAAAGAAAGCGUAAUAGCUCACUGGUCGAGUCGGCCUGCGCGGAAGAUGUAACGGGGCUAAACCAUGCACCGAAGCUGCGGCAGCGACACUAUGUGUUGUUGGGUAGGGGAGCGUUCUGUAAGCCUGUGAAGGUGGCCUGUGAGGGUUGCUGGAGGUAUCAGAAGUGCGAAUGCUGACAUAAGUAACGAUAAAGCGGGUGAAAAGCCCGCUCGCCGGAAGACCAAGGGUUCCUGUCCAACGUUAAUCGGGGCAGGGUGAGUCGACCCCUAAGGCGAGGCCGAAAGGCGUAGUCGAUGGGAAACAGGUUAAUAUUCCUGUACUUGGUGUUACUGCGAAGGGGGGACGGAGAAGGCUAUGUUGGCCGGGCGACGGUUGUCCCGGUUUAAGCGUGUAGGCUGGUUUUCCAGGCAAAUCCGGAAAACCAAGGCUGAGGCGUGAUGACGAGGCACUACGGUGCUGAAGCGACAAAUGCCCUGCUUCCAGGAAAAGCCUCUAAGCAUCAGGUAACAUCAAAUCGUACCCCAAACCGACACAGGUGGUCAGGUAGAGAAUACCAAGGCGCUUGAGAGAACUCGGGUGAAGGAACUAGGCAAAAUGGUGCCGUAACUUCGGGAGAAGGCACGCUGAUAUGUAGGUGAAGCGACUUGCUCGUGGAGCUGAAAUCAGUCGAAGAUACCAGCUGGCUGCAACUGUUUAUUAAAAACACAGCACUGUGCAAACACGAAAGUGGACGUAUACGGUGUGACGCCUGCCCGGUGCCGGAAGGUUAAUUGAUGGGGUUAGCGGUAACGCGAAGCUCUUGAUCGAAGCCCCGGUAAACGGCGGCCGUAACUAUAACGGUCCUAAGGUAGCGAAAUUCCUUGUCGGGUAAGUUCCGACCUGCACGAAUGGCGUAAUGAUGGCCAGGCUGUCUCCACCCGAGACUCAGUGAAAUUGAACUCGCUGUGAAGAUGCAGUGUACCCGCGGCAAGACGGAAAGACCCCGUGAACCUUUACUAUAGCUUGACACUGAACAUUGAGCCUUGAUGUGUAGGAUAGGUGGGAGGCUUUGAAGUGUGGACGCCAGUCUGCAUGGAGCCGACCUUGAAAUACCACCCUUUAAUGUUUGAUGUUCUAACGUUGGCCCGUAAUCCGGGUUGCGGACAGUGUCUGGUGGGUAGUUUGACUGGGGCGGUCUCCUCCUAAAGAGUAACGGAGGAGCACGAAGGUUGGCUAAUCCUGGUCGGACAUCAGGAGGUUAGUGCAAUGGCAUAAGCCAGCUUGACUGCGAGCGUGACGGCGCGAGCAGGUGCGAAAGCAGGUCAUAGUGAUCCGGUGGUUCUGAAUGGAAGGGCCAUCGCUCAACGGAUAAAAGGUACUCCGGGGAUAACAGGCUGAUACCGCCCAAGAGUUCAUAUCGACGGCGGUGUUUGGCACCUCGAUGUCGGCUCAUCACAUCCUGGGGCUGAAGUAGGUCCCAAGGGUAUGGCUGUUCGCCAUUUAAAGUGGUACGCGAGCUGGGUUUAGAACGUCGUGAGACAGUUCGGUCCCUAUCUGCCGUGGGCGCUGGAGAACUGAGGGGGGCUGCUCCUAGUACGAGAGGACCGGAGUGGACGCAUCACUGGUGUUCGGGUUGUCAUGCCAAUGGCACUGCCCGGUAGCUAAAUGCGGAAGAGAUAAGUGCUGAAAGCAUCUAAGCACGAAACUUGC